GGGGGUGACCUGGCUUCGACGUGGGUAGCAAAACCUUAGGUGCAUGUCGAGCUUUCAGGAAUCUCGUAAAACAUCUGAAAAAAUAUAGUUGCAAACGACGACAACUACGCAAUCGCUGCCUAAACACCAGUAAAUUGCUGUCUGACUGGAGCCGUGCUUAUGCGUCCAGAGACCUUCGGGUCAUUCAGGCAUCAUAGCUCAUAAGAUCGUAUUGAAGCUUGUUCGGGGCGGAUAUACUAAAACUUAACCGGAAUCGUCUUUGGUCUUCCUAGCCUAUCGGGUAGCCACUGAUUAAACUAAAAGUUAUAGGAUAAACAUGUAGAGCCGAGGGCGGAGUACUUGCGGACGCGGGUUCAAUUCCCGCCACCUCCACCA
RNAcentral lists this transfer-messenger RNA (375 nucleotides) under Cycloclasticus sp. It matches the Rfam family "transfer-messenger RNA". From Rfam's summary of the family: Bacterial tmRNA, also known as 10Sa RNA or SsrA, is named for its dual tRNA and mRNA-like properties. Its role is to liberate the mRNA from a stalled ribosome. RNAcentral also lists the same sequence under 1 other name. Lineage: Bacteria; Pseudomonadati; Pseudomonadota; Gammaproteobacteria; Thiotrichales; Piscirickettsiaceae. The record is from RNAcentral.